GCGCAGCAGGCGAGAAAACUUCACAAUGUGCGAAAGCACGAUGAGGGAAUCCCAAGUGCUUGCACGUAAGUGUAAGCUGUUUCUCUGUCUAAAACGCAGAGAGAGUAAGGGCUGGGUAAGACGGGUGCCAGCCGCCGCGGUAAUACCUGCAGCUCGAGUGGUGACCGUUAUUAUUGGGCCUAAAACGUCCGUAGCCGGUUUAAUAAAUGCCUGGGUAAAUCGGACCGCUUAACGGUUCGAAUUCCGGGUAGACUGUUAAACUUGAGACCGGGAGAAGUUAGAGGUACUCCUGGGGUAGAGGUGAAAUUCUGUAAUCCUAGGGGGACCACCAGUGGCGAAGGCGUCUAACUAGAACGGGUCUGACGGUGAGGGACGAAGCCCUGGGGCGCAAAC
RNAcentral lists this ribosomal RNA (393 nucleotides) under uncultured microorganism. RNAcentral describes it as "bacterial SSU rRNA". It matches the Rfam family "Archaeal small subunit ribosomal RNA", at positions 330 to 724 of the family's 1478-position model. The record is from RNAcentral.